RNAcentral lists this ribosomal RNA (253 nucleotides) under uncultured bacterium. RNAcentral describes it as "partial 16S ribosomal RNA". It matches the Rfam family "Bacterial small subunit ribosomal RNA", at positions 524 to 776 of the family's 1533-position model. The record is from RNAcentral.
UACGUAGGGUCCGAGCGUUGUCCGGAGUUACUGGGCGUAAAGGGCGCGCAGGCGGCGGUGCUGGCCCGGCGUGAAAGCCCCCGGCUCACCCGGGGAGGGUCGUCGGGGACCGCACCGCUUGAGGGCGGUAGGGGCCGGUGGAAUGCCUGGUGUAGUGGUGAAAUGCGUAGAGAUCCGGAGGAACACCAGUGGCGAAGGCGACACGCUGGGCCGUACCUGACGCUAAAGCGCGACAGCAUGGGGAGCGAACGGG